CAACGUGUAAACAUGGAGCAGCCUGGCACAGAGUGGUUAUAGCACGGCUGUCCAGGCUAUUCUUAGAUUGCGCUUCUUACAGGAAUUAUUGUGGAUUGUCAUUAAAAUGUAAACAUGAGAUGUAAAUAUUUCCAGAGAGUUCACACAAUCCCAAAGAUCCAGUUCUUUUUCUAUGUAGAAAUGUUUCUCCCAUAGGCUUAUAGAAAGGUGAGCUAUAAGAAAUUGUGGCUAACAAUUUAGGGGAAAACUGGCAUGGGAGGUAUAGAAAGGUCCUUGGCCUGGAAGCCAGUCAUAUUUGGGCUGCAAAUAUGAAUGUCAAUGGGGGUCAGACAGGUGACAGAAAUGGGGCAGGCGGGGGGGGCUAUACGGUUGAGUGAGGAGUACGGCAAACUGAAGAAAACACAGCCCAUGGAAAAGCAGCAGGGAACACUCCAUUCCCACCUCCUGUCACCUUUUAGGAAUAUGUGCUCAGUGCUGCUGGAUUUUUUAAGUUUUCAGAAAUAACUAAAAAUAGAAUUUUUGAAUGUAAAAAAUUUACAUGCCAGUUUUCUCCCACAGGCUUAUAGAAAGGUGAGGUAUAAGAAAUUGUGGCUAUUCUUCAGAUGAGUGUUUGAACAGCCCAAAACAAGCUGGCAUUUGCCACUCCCCACCCCUGCUACCCAUGUUUCUCUGUCAGCUGCCACUGUUUGCACAGGAAUUUAGUCCCAUGUGACUUCACCGUCCCUAUUUUGAGAUGGAGGUGGAUGAGAACUGUUAGCCACAGUCAUUUCAAGGGAGCUACUAAGCUGUGUCUCCUAGAGUUUGGAGACUGUGAUCCAUUUUCAAGUGAACUUUUAGCUUGAAUAUUCCUGCCCACUCCCUUCACUGCUGUGGACAGGGGAAGAAGAAAUGCCAGAGGUAGAAAUUGACAUUGAUGAUCUUCUUGAUGCAGACAGUGAUGAAGAGAGAGCUUCAAAGUUACAGUUAUGGGAGGAAGAUUUGAGCCAACACAGAAGCGAGAAAAGAACGACAGGGUGUACAGGUACGGUGACUGGUCAUAUGAGGGCUUCUUCUCCCUCGGUCAUUUCCAGGAUCUCAGGCCUGAAGCCUACUUUCCACAGGAACUGGAUGCAAGGUACUACAAUUCCUUUAUCAGGAGGAGAGGCUCUUGCUCCAAGACUGUCAUAUAGCGUAUGCCCUUUCAGGCAGGGACGCCACCGCCUGGGUCAUUGGUUCUUGUCCUGGUCUGGCUGUUUUCCCAUGUACUGCUUCUGCUCUGUGACUGCUCUAGGCAUUCCUCCUACUAUAAAUUACUAUAUGGUUAUAUGGAAGGAUUAUACAAAUCAGCAUUAA
RNAcentral lists this long non-coding RNA (1332 nucleotides) under Callithrix jacchus (white-tufted-ear marmoset). Its description in RNAcentral is "lncRNA (ENSCJAG00000086369.1)". The record is from RNAcentral. Lineage: Eukaryota; Metazoa; Chordata; Mammalia; Primates; Cebidae.